This 206-nucleotide ribosomal RNA is filed under the name uncultured bacterium. RNAcentral's name for it is "partial 16S ribosomal RNA". It matches the Rfam family "Bacterial small subunit ribosomal RNA", at positions 1295 to 1500 of the family's 1533-position model. The record is from RNAcentral.
GGAUCGCAGGCUGCAACCCGCCUGCGUGAAGUUGGAAUCGCUAGUAAUCGCGGAUCAGCAUGCCGCGGUGAAUACGUUCCCGGGCCUUGUACACACCGCCCGUCACACCAUGAGAGUCGGGAACACCCGAAGUCCGUAGCCUAACUUUAACGAGGGGCGCGGCCGAAGGUGGGUUCGAUAAUUGGGUGAAGUCGUAACAAGGUAAC